This 430-nucleotide ribosomal RNA is filed under the name uncultured Anaeromyxobacter sp. RNAcentral's name for it is "bacterial SSU rRNA". It matches the Rfam family "Bacterial small subunit ribosomal RNA", at positions 355 to 776 of the family's 1533-position model. The record is from RNAcentral. Lineage: Bacteria; Pseudomonadati; Myxococcota; Myxococcia; Myxococcales; Anaeromyxobacteraceae.
UGGGGAAUCUUGCGCAAUGGGCGAAAGCCUGACGCAGCAACGCCGCGUGUGUGAUGAAGGUCUUCGGAUCGUAAAGCACUGUCGCGAGGGACGAAUAAGGGGCGGGUUAACAUCCCGUUCCGAUGACGGUACCUCGAGAGGAAGCACCGGCUAACUCUGUGCCAGCAGCCGCGGUAAUACAGAGGGUGCAAGCGUUGUUCGGAAUUAUUGGGCGUAAAGCGCGUGUAGGCGGCUCAGCAAGUCGGGUGUGAAAGCCCUCGGCUUAACCGAGGAAGUGCGCCUGAAACUACUGAGCUUGAGUACCGGAGAGGGUGGCGGAAUUCCCGGUGUAGAGGUGAAAUUCGUAGAUAUCGGGAGGAACACCAGUGGCGAAGGCGGCCACCUGGACGGCUACUGACGCUGAGACGCGAAAGCGUGGGGAGCAAACAGG